This is a long non-coding RNA of Microplitis mediator, 531 nucleotides long. RefSeq lists it as uncharacterized. NCBI's taxonomy places the organism in Eukaryota, Metazoa, Arthropoda, Insecta, Hymenoptera, Braconidae. The record is from RefSeq and is a predicted model, not a curated record. The transcript has 3 exons.
CUCUUCAUGAUAAUCUUUAGUUACUUUGUAUAACGCAAUUACGUAAAGGACAUGAGUUUACAUGAAUGAAAUACAGUGAGGACAAUUAAUGUAAAUAGCCGUUUGAUUAUUAUUAAUCCAUAAAGUAAUUGGUCACAGUCCCGAUAGCUUCUGGAUAAAUUGUAGCGAAGGCUUUACUCAACUACUAUACGAGAUGUUUAACAUGAAGAUAUAUUUGUUGGCAGUUUUGGUAGUGGCUUUGUUUGCUGCCGAAACCUUUGCAUGCGGCCAACCCGGCACAUUUUGCAGCAGCGGCUCGUCUUGCUGCUCCGGAUUAUGUCAUAGAUUUAUGAGUAUUUACUCAUGUGCAUAAGCUAUUUUUUAAAAAUGAAUUAGUAAAAAUCAUGUGACAAUCACUAUUUGGCGUUGAAUAGUCACUAUUUUCACUAUUUCAAACCGAAAUUAAAAAAUGUAGUCUAAAUGUAGUAAUGUCUAUUGCCAACUGAAAAUUUAAAAAUUGUAUUUGAAGACAAAAAAUAAAAAUUUUCCUCA